This is a long non-coding RNA of Vicia villosa (hairy vetch), 8080 nucleotides long. RefSeq lists it as uncharacterized. The record is from RefSeq and is a predicted model, not a curated record. NCBI's taxonomy places the organism in Eukaryota, Viridiplantae, Streptophyta, Magnoliopsida, Fabales, Fabaceae. The transcript has 3 exons.
UUUUUCUUUUUCCAAUGUAAAAAAAAACAUUAAACACCGUGUCUUCUUCGAGUUCAAGGUAUCAGGCAUCAGGAUCGUCUCCUGCGUUUUGUGUUCAGCUGCCUCUCAUAUUGUGAAUCCAAUGGAUAGAAAAUGAUGAAAAACAAAUAAAUAAGUAAAAUUAAUUUUAAAGUAACAGGUAUCAGCUUCAUCUUCAUCUUCUUUUCAAGCUCUCAUAUUUGACUGCGACCGUGUCAUCUUGGAAUCCGAGCACACCGUCAAACUUAUACCGAUGCUUUUACUCACUUCAAUGUUUGUUCUCCCUCUUCUUUACCUCAACCACUCAAUUGGGAUAUCCACUUCUAUGAUCAACUCCAGAACAAAAUCGGUGGCGGCAUACCCAAAAUGCAAUGGUUCUUUUCCACUUUCUUUUUAUUCUACCAUCUUUCCUUCUUACUGUUAUCUUAUGCUAUCUUAUGUUUGUCAUUGAGCUUUUCUUUUUUGCGAGAUUUUUAAGGGACUUUAAGGAACAAGGUUGGCCCAAAGGGCUUUAGGCCUCAAAAGUUUGUGCCUAAAAAAAACCUCAAAUUUUUUCAUUUAGUUAUAAAAAUAGAUAAUGACGUUUGAGUUACAUAUAUUAUUGUAGUUGAGUUAGUAAAAUUUAGGUCUCUUUUCUUUUAUAUCUUGGGUUCAACUCUUAGCAACCUCCAAAUUAUUAUUUUAAAAUAUAUUUUAAAGACCUCAUUUUAAAAUUUGCUUUAGGCCUUCAUAGGAGUUAGGUCGGCACUUGUUAAGGAACAUGGGUGACCUUCAUCAAAGUUGUCCAAACUCCUCCAACUAAAGACGAGGAACGAGCCAAGUUAAUUGACACUCUUCAGGUCUUUUAUGUUUUUCUUAUUUUCACUUUUCUGUCAAUUCUAGACUUUGUUCACUAUGCGCUCACACAGGAUAAGACUUGGAAGCUGCUAUCAAAACAUAAAUUGUAUAGUAAUUUAGUACCUAGGACUUAGGAACUUCACUAUUUUGUAACUAUGUUUUCCAUUGCUCAUAGGAUAGGACUUCGAUUGGAAAAUAUGCAGGUCAUUUAAUCUAAUUAACUUGCUUCUUCUUUCUGGUUUCUAUUUUAGAGGGGGAAAUUGAACUAUAGAUGUUCCUUGAUGCCCGACCCAUUUUUCCACCCCUAUCUAUUACUCCUCCAAACUUGAAAUUAGCAAUAUUACUCCUCCAAAAUUGAAAUUAGCAAUAGUAUACACAAGAUCAUAUAAUACUUACCAUGCAGCAACAUUUACCAUGUAAGCGAUUAUAUCAAAAGCCAUAGUAUACAAAAGGGGUGUCAUUCAUAGCAAGCUUUCAAGAGGUUUUUUUUUGUCCAAGUGAAGUAUGAGUUUUCCAACAACCACAACAUCUAAAACUCUUGUGUUUUACUAGUGACUCUGAACUAACAAAUUGAAAUCCAAAUCGAAAGAAAACGUAUACUUGCCAGAUUCUAGAAACUUGGCAAAAACAAGUUUUGGGUCAAGAACUGCGAAGAUGAAACACAAGCAAGAGGGACUUUAUAGGUACAAAAAUACUUGUUUUGAAAAAGGAUGCGAAUUAAGAUGGCAAAUGAGGUUGUGGAAUAAUUCAUGUUUUUGUUUACAGUUAUUAUUUGGAUUGUAUGCUAGUUUGGACUUUGAGCUCUUGCACUGUAACUACAUAAUUAUCAAUGAGCAUUAUCUCCUUAUAAAAUAAACAAUAAACUUUAUAUAUCUUCACUCUUCAGUCAAACUAUCUAUUUAAAAAUCUUGAGGACUAAUUUAAGUUAUAAGAUACAUACUUAAAGAGAUCCACAACAUAACAAACCAAUGUUCAAAUCUCGGUCGAAACAGACUGUCAUAUUUAAUGUCCGAAAUGUCUGGAAUAUAUCUGUGCUAUUGAUGGUAGAGGUUAGCGUUUGGUUUACAGGUAUAUUUUUCUCAUGUUAUCUAUACUCUAUAAACGUGCUCAUUUAAUCUCUUUAUAUUCUGUGAAAAAAGAAAAUGAAAAGAAAACUAACUAUCUUAGCCUGUGUUAGAAAAUUAGAGGUCAGGGAAAGUCUUGAUGUGUUCUCCCGAUUUUGUUAAGUGGUGAAAUACAUUCAUUAUCUAUGGUUUGAAGACAUAAUUUCUAGACUUUGAUGUUUGCUGCAUUGGACUUUAGAAAGAGAAAAAUAUAAUACUACUUCUUUGUCCCACAUUGGUUAGAAAUAAUAACAAGUAUUUAUGUUUUUGAUAUAAAAUAAGAGUUCAUUGACUAACCAAAUCAUACCUUUCUCGGCCUUUUGGCUAAGAUCAAGUGUAGUAUCUGUUCUUAUCAGUUUAAUAUCUGAUAUGUGAGCCAAUGGCUCACACGAUAUUAAAUCUAUUUCUUGAGGGGGAGAGUACAUCACAAUAGCUUGCUAUUAGGUCUCUCAAGUGUCGCUUCUGUGUUGCACUAUUGCAUUGGCCAGACGCACCCCACCAAUAAAGUCUAAAUAUAUUUUUUUGACUAUGUUUCUUAUUAUCUUUCAUAACUGUAUUUGAUUAUACUAUCUAACUAAAAAUCAUGCUCAAACUAUAAUGUAAAUUUAUAAACCCUACAGGCAGCAACAAAAGCAGGGAUGUCCUGUGUGGUUGGUUACCUACACAUCUCCACGGCUGAUCAGUUUGAAAGAUUUGGAGUUCACAAGGUUAAGAUCCUGUCUUCUUUUUUUUUUCCGUUCUUUUGUGUUUUGAUGUAUUCACUGUAUGCAGAUGUAUACAUGGAGAUAAUGUGUAUUCAAUUCAUUGCGAAGUGUAAUAAAAUUUAUAAUCUAUUUACAUUUUGAAUGCUUCCCUGAGAUUUUGUUUCACGGUUUAUCAGAUUGACUGUAUGAAAGUUGAGAUGUUUUUAUUUUAUCAGUUUUUUCAUAUGAUUUUUUCUUUCCUUAAGGUGCUUAAGAUUGAGCAUAAUCAGCAAUGAACUUUAUAAUUCUAUAGUCAAAUUAAGCUGCGAAAUACAUAUAUAGAGACUAACUUAUUCGAUUAAAUGUAUAUUCUUUUGAACUGGUGAUUAAAUAUAAUAUUUAAGAACAUCAAAUUUCAUUUUCAUCAACAAAGAACUAACAAGGCUAAUCUUUAUCCAAUUAAUCUAAAAAAGCUCUAAACUCAGUCAGGCUAAGUCAGCUAUCCUACACAACAUACUCUCAAUAAUUCACAGCAAUUCACACAUCAUGAGAAACCUCUGGAAUUCAUGCCAAUACAUAUUUACCCGUAUGAUAUAAAUGUCACCAACUGUUAUGAUUUUCCUUCGAGAUUGAAGAUGAAGGUUUUUUCACAACUUGUUCAUCAUGGAGCUUAUCAGAAUUCAUUGGUGAAUUUAAUGAAGCAAACCCUCAAAACCUUAGAUCAGGUUGUGCUAAUCCAGCUGGUGCGUGGAUCCUCCCAGUCUGACAUUUGAUGCUGGAUGCUUUGAUGGAGACAAAACAGCGUGGAGCCUGCUGGCCAUAAACUAUGAAGGUAAUGUCAAUUUUUCUGCUUCAAAACUGGAGCAUGUAGCAGUCUCACCUAGCUUGGCAAAGGUAAUGGCACUAAGAUGGGUUUAGAGUGGGCUAAAAGUCAAGGUAUGGCAAGUUUAUUGUUGAGUUAGAUGCUGAAGUUGUUGUGCACUGUCUUUGUAACAAAUUAAAGUUAAUUGAAUUAGAUCAUGUAGUUCUAGACUGUUUGGAUUUGUUGCCUCGAAUGAUUAAUACUAGUGUGGUUUACGUUAGGAGAAGUAAGAACGUUGUUGUGCAAGCCUUAGUUGGUGUAGCUAGUGAUAGGGUCUAGAAGUUGGAUUGGAAAUGUUCCAUCCUCAGUUUCUCUCAUUACUUGUAAGGAAUCUAAUUUCAUUCAAUGAAUUAGAAGCUAUUGUCAGAAACAAAUACUACGUUAUUUGAAACUUGUUAGGAUGUAGAAUAGUGGUUAAUUCAAGUAGUUAAGAGUUGUUAUAGAAGUUAGUUAGUUGGCUGGUUAGUUGAGGUUGUUAUAUGGCUAUUUGUAUAAAUAGGAGAAUGCAUAUAUAGAGUUGAGAAUCUGAUAGGUGAGGAAUUGUCGGAGCAUGGAGGAAAAUAACUGGCUUCACGAUGACAUAAUUGGUUCUGCUACUUCACGAUAAAGGUAUAUAAUUGUAAUAAGUAAUAACACAUUGCUGGAAACUUCUUAUAUUAGGUAUUCUCAAUAUAGACGCAGUUACUAAAAUUUUGUGAACUAUCAUACAGCUUGAGUGAUUUGGAAUUGCUACUUCACGAUAUUGUAGCUACAAAAUAGGAGAAUUGUUUAUGACUUGGAAAUGUUACUAUAUAAGUUGCCCUGAAUGUGUUUCUUUAAGGAAAACUGGUUGAAAGUUUGAGGUUUAUCACAAGGCGAAGAUCCUUUUGCUUUUACACGUUUUUCUAUGCAUUCAUUGACAGACGAUGUAUACAUUAGCUGUAUAUGUAGCCUCAUGAGGCAAUCUAUGCGCACUACAUUAGUUGCCUCCUAGAAAACUCUCCUGGAGUUUGAACCGAGCUAUGGAUUUUGCUCUCAGGUUGUUAAACCGGUCCACCACAAUCUUACUAGAAUCUUAUUCGAAUUUAAUACUAUCAGCAUUCAAAUCCAUCCUCAAAGAAAGCUGCAUCCACGUUACAAUUAGCUUACCUGUUGGGGAUUUUCUCCAUCCAAUCUGUCGAGAUCUAUCAAUUGCAGGUUUCCUGGGCAUGUUGUGGUUUCCUGCAAGCCACUGCUACAGAAAGACACUGUCCCUAUGACUUACCGCAGCGAUGUCCUUGGAUCCUUUUAAUAAAUGAAAAUUUUGACUAUGCCACCGGCUCCCCAGCAGAGAGCAACAGGCAUUGCACUGAAUAUGCGUCAAAGUUUCUGCAUUAAGAAAGAAUCACUGAAAUCUGCUGUAUUGGAAAUAUAAUUUAUUAGUUGGUGUUUGUUACUGAUUAGUUAGUGUCUAUAAUAGACUCGGGGUAGUCAAUUACUCAAUUGUUCUUAACUUUAUAAUUUGUAAUAUUUUAGUCUUAUAAAUACACUAGAGUUUAAAUCUUUCCUCUUUCUUCUUCCAUGGAUUCCAUGUUACAUAACAGACGCACACAUACUCUUCCUACUGCUCGCACCAACGACACGAUAAUGGACAUUGAACUUCUUUUCCUACUGCUCGCACCAACGACACGAUAAUGGACAUUGAACUUCUUUGUUUCUAAGUUGUGCUCUGAUAGGUAUUUAACUAAGCGAUUGCUCGAGUAAAUAAUUAUUAAACCACCUGUACAUUUUGGCAAAGGUUAAACCUAGACCAGGAGUUUUGAGAGUGAUUGCUGAGGCCAGAGAUGCUGUAAGAUAACAUUGUUUACCGGUAGUGGACAGUGUAUCGGAGAAAAACUGCUUGGUGGUAAAGGACAAUGUUAUUGGUUUACAGGUACAUCUUUUCAUGUGAUUGACCAAUUUCUUUAUAUGUUGUGCAGAAGGAAAAUAAGAAACAAAACUUAUCAGUUUAGCUUGUGUUAGAAAGGUAGAGGAUACGGAAUUGUUUUGAUUUGUUGUUUGAUGUAAUAGUAAUAGUUGGCUUAAAUAAAUGAAAUUUAAAUUUACAUAUCUUUAUUUUAUUUGUUGUCAAAUGUUUUUUUGUUAGCUGUUUUUUUCCGGAUGAUAUAGUACUUUUUGGAGAAUCGAAGGAGAAUUUAAAUUAAAGGUUGGAAGCUUGGAGACUAGUUUUAGAAACACAUGAUUUUCGCCGAAGCAGAAGUAAGACAGAGUAUAUGGAAUGUAAGUUCAACAAAAGAAGUGUUUCUAACCUAAAGGUGAAAGUUGGAGACCAUAAUAUCAUUUAAAAAUCUUGGGUCAAUGAUGGAGAAAUAGAAGGGGAUGUAAACCAUCGAAUUCAAGCUGGAUGGUUAAAAUGGAGAAAGACAUCAAGUGUCUUAUGUGAUGCAAAGGUAGGUACCGCUCAAGAUGAAGGAAAAAUUUAUCGGACUGUAGCAAGACUUGCGAUUUCGUAUGGGACAAAAUGUUGGACUGUCAAAAAUCAACACGAGAAUAAAGUAAGCGUAACAGAGGUGAGGAUGUUGCGGUGAAUGUGGGGUAAGAUUCGACAGGAUAAAAUUAACAAUGAAAUUAUUAGAGCUAAUAACUGUUGGGAAGAUAUAAUGCAAUGAUUUUAUAUCAGUUAUUCAUAAGGUAUUCAAUGUUAAGAAUGUUUUGUUUCUUUAAAAUCAUUAUAUAUUUGAGAUCUUAUAUAGAGUUGAAAAAACAAUACAAAAUGAUAUAAUUUUGGGUAGCAAUAUCACACUAGAGAUAAAAAAAUUCUUACGAGUUCUGUAUUUUCAAUUUUUGAAAAGAGUCUAUUAAAUCCUGAGAGAUUAGUAUAAUACGCGGAAAAUUUUUGAGGACAGUGCAUCCAACACGUCUCAUACUAUCUUAUCAGUUUUUUGUUUUGCAGGUCUUCAUAGCAAUAACAACAACAGUCGAUACCACCUAGUAAGACAAGACUUAGUUGUUGUUGAUCAAAUGUUUUUAAGUCAGAUCUCUCUUAAAUUUAUGUGAUAUAAGAAUGACGCAAUUUUAUUUUUUUUGAACUAUUUAAUCCCAAAUUUGAAGUUAUCACUAAGAUACGUUGCAUUCCUAUUUCAUGCUCCCAGCAACCAUCGUGGUAUUACACUCAUUUCUCCUUCUCUCACUAGCAACAAUUAUCAUGCUUGAUUUUGCUCCAUGCUUGUUGCUUUUGGAUCCAACGAUUCUCAGAAUAGUAACUGUGUAUGUUUCAUCGUACCUUAUUUGCAGUUAGAAAUUUGGUACUUAGCAGCUUCACUAUUUAGUUACCAUGUUUCCCCAAUUUUUCACAUAUUUAGACUUGGACUGGAAAUAUGCAUGUUGGUCAUUCCAUCUACUAAACUUGCUUCUCCUGGUUACUAUUUAUUUAGAGGGGAAAAUUGGAAAUGAUUUUCUUUGUCCUCUUCAGUCAUACAGUAUGAAUGAAGCUGACAUUUAUUAAGAUUGUAGUUUCCUUGUUUGGCUAAAAAUUUUGCAAAUUCAAGAUUGUGAUCUAGAGAUGUUUCUCAAUACUUUUCAAUUUAUUUUAAGUGGGUCAACCGAUUUUAAGUAUUUUGAUUAGAAUGGCCUAGCCUUAAGUGCCUACUAAGGGACAAAAUGUCAAGAGGCAUACUUGAGGAGUUACAAAUUGGAGAGUUAAUAGUGUUGUGAGAAACUAAACAAAAGCCAUUACUUGAGGACUGCGACUUAAGAUUUGAAAACUCAUCGAGACCAUCAGAUUCUACUGAACCUUCUAAUAAGACAACAUCAUUGGUAUGAGAUUUAAGGACUCAGUGAUCUGAGUCGGUGGUUCAGAUAAGAGACUAAUCCCUUAUAUCAGAAGUCUUCUUUAUAAAGUGGUGGUCUGGCGCCAUGUCCUAUUGAAGUGUCUGUAACAUAGUAAGGGUGUCAAUAACAAUACAAAUUUAUAUGGAUGAAAGAGAUUUCGCUUGAGGAGUAUUUUAUUUAUGUAAUAAUCUUCUAAUUCUCUGUAUAUCUUUUUGCUUUAUUUGCUUUGGAUUAUUUUAUGUGUUUGUUGUAUUUAUGAGCUUAGAGUCUAUUUUUAUUUAUCUUUUUUUUUUAAUCUUGUCAAAGAGGGAAAAGUAGUAAUGAGUCCAAUGUAUUGAUUUAUGUCGUUUGAUGCAAAUUUAGAACGUGAAAUGUUUCAAAGGGAGCAUAAAGGAAAGCCUUGAUCACACUUCACUUGAUGCUCAAGUUGAAUAAAUUUUAAUGCAAAUUUGUAAGUUGCAAAGCAUAAAAAAAAGGGACAUUGAAGUUGUUCUUCCUAAUAGAGAUUUGGUUAUGCUGCAUGUCCUGUUUAUCAGUUAUCGUUUUAUUAAUUGAGUUUUCUCUAAGUUAUUGAGUGCAAUGCAUUAAAUCAUGUCUGUGUGCAUUAAAUCUAACCCCUAAGUAAAAGUUGAUGCAAAGUGGUUCAAGUCAAGUUAGUAAAAUCAGAGUUUUCUUUGACUCGAACCAUUGAUUCGAAUCAAAUUGUCAAAUUAUGAAUUUUAAAUCCUUGAUUCAAAUCAUUUCCUGAUUUGACUCGAAUCAUACCCACUGCUUUUGACUCGAAUCAA